This 473-nucleotide ribosomal RNA is filed under the name uncultured bacterium. Its description in RNAcentral is "bacterial SSU rRNA". It matches the Rfam family "Bacterial small subunit ribosomal RNA", at positions 915 to 1391 of the family's 1533-position model. The record is from RNAcentral.
GGGGGCCCGCAAGCGGUGGAGCAUGUGGUUUAAUUCGAAGCAACGCGAAGAACCUUACCAGGUCUUGACAUCCUUUGACCACUCUAGAGAUAGAGCUUUCCCUUCGGGGACAAAGUGACAGGUGGUGCAUGGUUGUCGUCAGCUCGUGUCGUGAGAUGUUGGGUUAAGUCCCGCAACGAGCGCAACCCUUAUUAUUAGUUGCCAGCAUUCAGUUGGGCACUCUAGUGAGACUGCCGGUGAUAAACCGGAGGAAGGUGGGGAUGACGUCAAAUCAUCAUGCCCCUUAUGACCUGGGCUACACACGUGCUACAAUGGAUGGUACAACGAGUCGCAAAACCGCGAGGUUAAGCUAAUCUCUUAAAGCCAUUCUCAGUUCGGAUUGUAGGCUGCAAUUCGCCUACAUGAAGCCGGAAUCGCUAGUAAUCGCGGAUCAGAACGCCGCGGUGAAUACGUUCCCGGGCCUUGUACACACC